CUGCGNUGCUUCCAUCAGUCGACGGCAGCACGGGUGCUUGCACCUGGUGGCGAGUGGCGAACGGGUGAGUAAUACAUCGGAACAUGUCCUGUAGUGGGGGAUAGCCCGGCGAAAGCCGGAUUAAUACCGCAUACGAUCCACGGAUGAAAGCGGGGGACCUUCGGGCCUCGCGCUAUAGGGUUGGCCGAUGGCUGAUUAGCUAGUUGGUGGGGUAAAGGCCUACCAAGGCGACGAUCAGUAGCUGGUCUGAGAGGACGACCAGCCACACUGGGACUGAGACACGGCCCAGACUCCUACGGGAGGCAGCAGUGGGGAAUUUAGGACAAUGGGCGAAAGCCUGAUCCAGCAAUGCCGCGUGUGUGAAGAAGGCCUUCGGGUUGUAAAGCACUUUUGUCCGGAAAGAAUCCUUGGCUCUAAUACAGUCGGGGGAUGACGGUACCGGAAGAAUAAGCACCGGCUAACUACGUGCCA
This 471-nucleotide ribosomal RNA is filed under the name Burkholderia cepacia. Its description in RNAcentral is "bacterial SSU rRNA". It matches the Rfam family "Bacterial small subunit ribosomal RNA", at positions 44 to 510 of the family's 1533-position model. The record is from RNAcentral. Lineage: Bacteria; Pseudomonadati; Pseudomonadota; Betaproteobacteria; Burkholderiales; Burkholderiaceae.